RNAcentral lists this ribosomal RNA (425 nucleotides) under uncultured bacterium. Its description in RNAcentral is "bacterial SSU rRNA". It matches the Rfam family "Bacterial small subunit ribosomal RNA", at positions 89 to 518 of the family's 1533-position model. The record is from RNAcentral.
UGGCGACCGGCGCACGGUGAGUACGCGUAUCCAACUCCGCAUAGUAGGAAUAGCCCGGCGAAAGUCGGAUUAAUGCCCUAUGUUUUCCGAUGAGGACAUCUGAGCUGGAACAAAGAUUUAUCGCUAUGCGAUGGGGAUGCGUCUGAUUAGCUUGUCGGCGGGGUAACGGCCCACCGAGGCAACGAUCAGUAGGGUUCUGAGAGGAAGGUCCCCCACAUUGGUACUGAGACACGGACCAAACUCCUACGGGAGGCAGUAGUGAGGAAUAUUGGUCAAUGGGCGUAAGCCUGAACCAGCCAAGUAGCGUGCAAGGAAGACUGCCCUAUGGGUUGUAAACUGCUUUUAUGCGGAAUAAAGUCAGGUACGCGUACCUGUUUGUAUGUACCGCAUGAAUAAGGACCGGCUAAUUCCGUGCCAGCAGCUGC